UAAUACGGAGGGUGCUAGCGUUGUUCGGAAUUACUGGGCGUAAAGCGCGUGUAGGCGGAUCCAGAAGUCGGGUGUGAAAGCCCUGGGCUUAACCCAGGAAGUGCGCCCGAAACCAUGGGUCUUGAGGUCCGGAGGGGAUCGGGGAAUUCCCAGUGUAGAGGUGAAAUUCGUAGAUAUUGGGAGGAACACCGGUGGCGAAGGCGCCGAUCUGGACGGAUUCUGACGCUGAGACGCGAAAGCGUGGGUAGCAAACAGGAUUAGAUACCCUGGUAGUCCACGCCGUAAACGAUGCACACUAGGUGUCGCGGGUAUUGACCCCCGCGGUGCCGACGCAAACGCAUUAAGUGUGCCGCCUGGGAAGUACGGCCGCAAGGUUGAAACUUAAAUGAAUUGACGG
RNAcentral lists this ribosomal RNA (397 nucleotides) under uncultured bacterium. RNAcentral's name for it is "bacterial SSU rRNA". It matches the Rfam family "Bacterial small subunit ribosomal RNA", at positions 521 to 916 of the family's 1533-position model. The record is from RNAcentral.